This 479-nucleotide ribosomal RNA is filed under the name uncultured bacterium. RNAcentral describes it as "bacterial SSU rRNA". It matches the Rfam family "Bacterial small subunit ribosomal RNA", at positions 40 to 507 of the family's 1533-position model. The record is from RNAcentral.
CUACAGGCUUAACACAUGCAAGUCGAGGGGAAACGAUAGAGAAAGCUUCGCUUUUCUAGGCGUCGACCGGCGCACGGGUGAGUAACGCGUAUCCAACCUGCCCACCACUUGGGGAUAACCUUGCGAAGUAAGACUAAUACCCAAUGACGUCUCUAGAAGACAUCUGAAAGAGAUUAAAGAUUUAUCGGUGAUGGAUGGGGAUGCGUCUGAUUAGCUUGUUGGCGGGGUAACGGCCCACCAAGGCGACGAUCAGUAGGGGUUCUGAGAGGAAGGUCCCCCACAUUGGAACUGAGACACGGUCCAAACUCCUACGGGAGGCAGCAGUGAGGAAUAUUGGUCAAUGGACGAGAGUCUGAACCAGCCAAGUAGCGUGCAGGAAGACGGCCCUAUGGGUUGUAAACUGCUUUUAUAAGGGAAUAAAGUGAGUCUCGUGAGACUUUUUGCAUGUACCUUAUGAAUAAGGACCGGCUAAUUCCGUG